UACAGAGGGUGCGAGCGUUGUCCGGAAUCACUGGGCGUAAAGGGCGCGUAGGCGGCUUGAUAAGCGUGCGGUGAAAGCCCGGGGCUCAACCCCGGGUCGGCCGUGCGAACUGUCGAGCUGGAGCACUGUAGAGGCAGGUGGAAUUCCGGGUGUAGCGGUGGAAUGCGUAGAGAUCCGGAAGAACACCCGUGGCGAAGGCGGCUCUCUGGGACGGUACUGACGCUGAGACGCGAAAGCGUGGGGAGCGAACAGG
RNAcentral lists this ribosomal RNA (253 nucleotides) under uncultured bacterium. Its description in RNAcentral is "partial 16S ribosomal RNA". It matches the Rfam family "Bacterial small subunit ribosomal RNA", at positions 524 to 776 of the family's 1533-position model. The record is from RNAcentral.